RNAcentral lists this ribosomal RNA (534 nucleotides) under uncultured bacterium. RNAcentral's name for it is "bacterial SSU rRNA". It matches the Rfam family "Bacterial small subunit ribosomal RNA", at positions 9 to 537 of the family's 1533-position model. The record is from RNAcentral.
GAGUUUGAUCCUGGCUCAGAGUGAACGCUGGCGGCAUGGUUAAGACAUGCAAGUCGAACGAGAAGCAGGACUUCGGUCCUGUGGAAAGUGGCGAACGGGUGCGUAACACGUGAGCAACCUGCCCCUAAGUACGGAAUAGCCCACCGAAAGGUGGAUUAAUACCGCAUGUGACCCUUUAUCGCAUGGUAGAGUGGUUAAAGCUUGUAAUGGCGCUUAGGGAUGGGCUCGCGGCCUAUCAGCUUGUUGGUGAGGUAACGGCUCACCAAGGCUAAGACGGGUAGCUGGUCUGAGAGGAUGAUCAGCCACACCGGGACUGAGACACGGCCCGGACACCUACGGGUGGCAGCAGUUUCGAAUCAUUCACAAUGGGCGAAAGCCUGAUGAUGCAAUGCCGCGUGGAGGAUGACGGCCCUAGGGUUGUAAACUCCUGUCAUUAGGGAACAACAAGUAGGUUCAUAGCCUACCCUGAGUUAACCUAAAGAGGAAGAGGUGGCUAACUCCGUGCCAGCAGCCGCGGUAAUACGGAGACCUCGA